This is a long non-coding RNA of Carassius carassius (crucian carp), 642 nucleotides long. RefSeq lists it as uncharacterized. The record is from RefSeq and is a predicted model, not a curated record. NCBI's taxonomy places the organism in Eukaryota, Metazoa, Chordata, Actinopteri, Cypriniformes, Cyprinidae. The transcript has 5 exons.
CGUCUCCAGCAUGCGUCUCCAGUGCGAGCAGCCGCCAUUUUCUCAGCGUGAAAGAAGCGAGAAGCGAGUGAAAGACUAUGACUUGUCGAGCUCGUGUCUUCAUUGUCCUCUCGCCGAGAGUUAAAGACACAGAAGCUGUUUGUGUGAGAGUCUCAGACUGUGAGGAGGAGGAUGUGUUCUUCUGAAGAGAGGGACAGGCGGGUUUAAGGAGAGUAAACUUCAGAAUAACAACGUUAUCUUUAUUUUUACUAAGACUAAAAUAAUGUUUGUUUUUGUAGAUGUUGAAAUCCAGAGACAAGAUAACUUCAUUCUUUUGAGACUGAUAACUCAAACUAACUGGAGUUAAGGACACAGAAGUCUGCUUGUGUGAGGAGGUGGUUUUCUCAGCUUCUUCAGAAGACAGGGAAAGAUAGUUUAAGGCAAGUAAACUUCAUAAUUUCAUGUUAUCAGUUGUUGUUGUUGUUUUUUACUAAGAGUAAAAUAAUGUUUGUUUUUUGUUUUUGUAGAUGUUAAAAGCCAGAGACAUGGGAGAGCAUCAUUCUUUUGAGAGUUUAUAACUCAAACCAACUUUGGAGUUGUCUUGUCUGAUUUGGAGAGUCAUCAUUCCUGGUAUUCCCUCUUAAAGGCCACUGAUGAAGAUCA